CCGCCGGGGGAGGGCGAAGCACAGACGUGCCCCCCUUCCCCGUUUGUCGGUCCCCUGCGAGGCAGUCUCGGAAGGGGAGCGGUGUUGGUGGCAGCGGCCCGCCAGGGCGAAAGCCGUGGGGGGAGGGGGGUCCCGCAUCCUUGACAUUGGGUACCCGAGAAAGCCCUGGACUCUGAAGGUUAUUUACAUUCCAGCUGUGGCUGGGACUUCUGGUCCUUGCUAAAUGCAUUAUUUUAAAAAUAACCGGAUUUUAUGGGCGAUUGCACUCUUCAAAAUAAGACCACAGCGCUGGUGAAUGAUAGAUCCUUUUGUCUCAUUUCGUCUGAGUCAUGCACGCUGUGUACAGCUCAGCCGUGGUGCUUCAGGUAUUUGAAAAACAUAAGAGACACAAGGGGCUGUGGCUUCCAGAAGCACGGCAGGCUCACCACUUCUUGUCCUCAAGCCUCCUCAGAGGCCACCAAAAUUACACAGUAUAGAAGAGCAGUCAAAUUAAUGGACUGAAAUAGGCUGAGGACCACUUGCCGAAGUUUCCCUUGUCAUCAGUGUUUUGGAACCACUGACAGAGGGAAUCAAGGUCCAACAUUUUCACGGGGCUUUAAAGAACCCAUUUCAUUUUAUUUGGGACUUUGAAAAUAACUGUCGAACAGUGACCCAAGUUCUACUUCCUCCCAGAA
Long non-coding RNA from Oxyura jamaicensis (ruddy duck), 674 nucleotides. RefSeq lists it as uncharacterized. The transcript is spliced from 2 exons. NCBI's taxonomy places the organism in Eukaryota, Metazoa, Chordata, Aves, Anseriformes, Anatidae. The record is from RefSeq and is a predicted model, not a curated record.